Non-coding RNA from Petromyzon marinus (sea lamprey), 701 nucleotides. NCBI's taxonomy places the organism in Eukaryota, Metazoa, Chordata, Hyperoartia, Petromyzontiformes, Petromyzontidae. The record is from RefSeq and is a predicted model, not a curated record.
GACUCGGGGUUGAGGGGGGGAGGCUGGGUUGCUCUCACCCCCACGCGACACUCACCGUGUCCCCGUGCCCCUGCGACCCUGUCUCUCCACGUCCCUCUGCGUGUGUCCCUGACCCUCUGACCCUCUGACCCCAUGACCCCGUGACCCAGGUCACGAGGGCUGCGUGUCGCUGCUGCUGGGCGCCGGCGCGGAAGUGGACUCGAGCGAGGGGGGGCACGGCCCCCCACUCCUCCUGGCGUGCGACGCCGGGAGGCUCGGCUGUGCCAGGCUACUCCUGCUGGCCGGCGCGAACCCGGACGCGGGCGACGGAGCACGAACUCCGCUCCACUCCACCGCCUCCCGCUCCACUCCACCGCCGCCUCCGGCCCCCCGGGACGCGGUGCCCCCCCGGCCGGCCCCCCCGGGGCCACCGCCCCCCGGCAGCACCCCGCGGGGCCCCCCCCGGCCGGACGACGACGACGACCUGACGUCCCUGCUGCUGGAGUUCGGCGCGGACCCGGACGCUCGCGACGGCGAGGGCAGGCGGCCGCUCGACCUCGCGACCCCCGGCAGCCCGGAGCACGCGGCGCUGCUGAGGCGCAGCAGGGACGCCCCCGCGCCGCUGACCCAGCUGUGCCGCUCCCUGGUGCGCUCCCAGCUGGCGGCCCCCGGCCUCGCGGCCUGCCUCCCCCUGCCCCCACGGAUCGUCGCCUUCCUCCAGC